RNAcentral lists this ribosomal RNA (262 nucleotides) under uncultured bacterium. RNAcentral's name for it is "partial 16S ribosomal RNA". The record is from RNAcentral.
CUGCUGCCUCCCGUAGGAGUCUGGUCCGUGUCUCAGUACCAGUGUGGGGGACCUUCCUCUCAGAACCCCUACGCAUCGUCGCCUCGGUGGGCCGUUACCCCGCCGACUAGCUAAUGCGCCGCAUGGCCAUCCGCAGCCGAUGAAUCUUUAACCGCCGAGGGAUGCCCCUCCGCGGUGUUACGCGGUAUUAGACGGAAUUUCUUCCGCUUAUCCCCCUGCUGCGGGCAGGUUCCAUACGUGUUACUCACCCGUGCGCUGGUCG